Neofelis nebulosa (Clouded leopard) is the source of this 718-nucleotide long non-coding RNA. RefSeq lists it as uncharacterized. NCBI's taxonomy places the organism in Eukaryota, Metazoa, Chordata, Mammalia, Carnivora, Felidae. The record is from RefSeq and is a predicted model, not a curated record. The transcript has 2 exons.
CCCAAGGGUAAAGGACAACCAGGCGCAAGUUAAGCACGCUCCUCCGCGGGCGGCCGGUAGCGCCCCCAGCUGGGGGCAGGGCCUCGCGAGGCAGAGGGCAGGGAAGGACCUGGAGCACCUGCUCCAGAAUGGCUUUUUGAAAGAAAUCUCAACUCUUCGUAAAGUCGGGAAUGGCGUGGACACAGGGAGGAGGUGCUUCCGCACAGUAACCGCGCUAACAGAAGGGCAGAGUCUAGCGCCCAAAGUGCCGCGCCUGCCCUGCGUGUCUUAGCUCUGGAACCGAUGGUGGUAUUUUCAGCAUCACUCUUGUGGUCGUCUCCACAAAAUGGGAAAAUGAGAUGGGAAAAUCCGGAUACCCUGUCUACAGCAAGCCCACGGACAACCCUGCUAAGUCUUUACCAAGCAGAUAACCGGCGUGGGCGGUUCCUGAGCAGCAGUGGCGGCCGUGUGUCUCUAACCUUUUCCCUAAGCUGGAUUCCUUCCAUCUGUACAUUUCCAGCACGGAGGGUUGCUCCUGCAGACCGCGGACACUAGCCGUUUAUACUGCGCACACACAUACAUACACAAACACACCCCGGCCCUCCCUCCCAGGGAGUGUUAUGGCCUCUGUUUAUGUGGUUGUUUAGGAACUUUUAAUUUGCACGCACGGCUUGAAAAACAAAGUCGUUCGCCUUCGCGUUGGGAAGGCACGAAAUAAACGAAUACAAAAAUAAACCCA